This 483-nucleotide unclassified non-coding RNA is filed under the name soil metagenome. Its description in RNAcentral is "partial internal transcribed spacer 1". The record is from RNAcentral.
UCGGAUUUAUCCCACGUUUCGUCAACCGCGAACUGUUUUACCUUUAGUGAUAGAAUUGAGUUACCGCUGGGGAAACUCGGCGUAACGGUCUCUUUUUUUCUCGUCCUAGGGAUUUUUGGGGGAGACCUACCAGUGACUCGGCUAAUUGUUAUCUUAGCGCAGAAAGGUGAUGAUUAGUUAAUCUGUUGAUAAAAUUAAGAUUGAUUAUUAUUGAGGAUAUGCGCAUCUUUGAUGAGAACGAUCUUAAAACUUUCAACAGGGUCAAUUUUGACUAAUAUGAUUCUAUUACUAAUUGAAUGUAACAAUAAAUCUAUACGGACCAAAAAGAUUAGAUUGAGAUCGAAGUGGGCCGACAAAGCCUGCUUUGGUUUCGAUUUUUUCUUUUUUCCCACCCUAUGAACAACACCAUAAGUACAUACAAUUGACUGAACUACUUCUUUCACGCUGAAAAGCGGGAGAGAAAGGAUAUUACGAAACUAAGUA